This 912-nucleotide ribosomal RNA is filed under the name uncultured archaeon. RNAcentral's name for it is "bacterial SSU rRNA". It matches the Rfam family "Archaeal small subunit ribosomal RNA", at positions 1 to 922 of the family's 1478-position model. The record is from RNAcentral.
UUCCGGUUGAUCCUGCCGGACCCGACUGCUAUCAGAGUGGGACUAAGCCAUGCGAGUCAACGCAGCAAUGCGUGGCAUACGGCUCAGUAACACGUAGUCAACAUGCCCAGGGGACGUGGAUAACCUCGGGAAACUGAGGAUAAACCACGAUAGGCCAAGAUUUCUGGAAUGAAUCAUGGCUGAAAUCUACAUGGCCCUUGGAUUGGACUGCGGCCGAUCAGGCUGUUGGUGAGGUAAUGGCCCACCAAACCUAUAACCGGUACGGGCUCUGAGAGGAGGAGCCCGGAGAUGGGCACUGAGACAAGGGCCCAGGCCCUAUGGGGCGCAGCAGGCGCGAAACCUCUGCAAUAGGCGAAAGCUUGACAGGGUUACUCUGAGUGAUGCCCGUUAAGGGCAUCUUUUGGCACCUCUAAAAAUGGUGUAGAAUAAGGGGUGGGCAAGUCUGGUGUCAGCCGCCGCGGUAAUACCAGCACCCCGAGUGGUCGGGACGAUUAUUGGGCCUAAAGCAUCCGUAGCCGGUUCUGCAAGUCUUCCGUUAAAUCCACCUGCUCAACAGAUGGGCUGCGGGGGAUACUACAGGGCUAGGAGGCGGGAGAGGCAAGCGGUACUCGGUGGGUAGGGGUAAAAUCCUCUGAUCCACUGAAGACCAUCAGUGGCGAAGGCGGCUUGCCAGAACGCGCUCGACGGUGAGGGAUGAAAGCUGGGGGAGCAAACCGGAUUAGAUACCCGGGUAGUCCCAGCUGUAAACGAUGCAGACUCGGUGAUGGGUUGGCUUUGAGCCAGCCCAGUGCCGCAGGGAAGCCGUUAAGUCUGCCGCCUGGGGAGUACGGUCGCAAGACUGAAACUUAAAGGAAUUGGCGGGGGAGCACCACAAGGGGUGAAGCCUGCGGUUCAAUUGGAAUCAACGCCGGA